GCAUCUUGAACCGACUGGGAAUCGAUUCGUCGAGGACUAGUCGGGAGAGAGGUUGGGCGGUCUGGAAGUCGACGUCAUUCGAAGACUUCUGGCCGUCCAUCUGCAACUGGGCGAGUCGACAGUCGAUUUCCUUGAACCGGCGCUCGUAGUCGUCCGCUCGUCGAUGCUGGGAGACCCCGGGAGUGGAGUCUCCAGAAGAUUCCGAGAGGGAGGCCGACGGCGUGCGCGGUCGUUUCUCC
This 239-nucleotide long non-coding RNA is filed under the name Elaeis guineensis (African oil palm). RNAcentral's name for it is "long non-coding RNA (EGUI_LNC025835)". The record is from RNAcentral. Lineage: Eukaryota; Viridiplantae; Streptophyta; Magnoliopsida; Arecales; Arecaceae.